This is a long non-coding RNA of Salvia splendens (bonfire salvia), 404 nucleotides long. RefSeq lists it as uncharacterized. The transcript has 3 exons. NCBI's taxonomy places the organism in Eukaryota, Viridiplantae, Streptophyta, Magnoliopsida, Lamiales, Lamiaceae. The record is from RefSeq and is a predicted model, not a curated record.
UCUCUCCCUCGGUUCCCUCUUCCUUUCCCGGAUCUGUCGCCGCCGCCGCCGCUACUGUGCAUGCACAGGCGGCGGCUUCGCCCUCCUCCGCGCCUCGUGCUACCGGAGCAGCUUCCCGGCGUCACUCCAGCCCCGGCCGCCUCCUCCUCGCCGAACUCCCGGAAGAUUUGUCAAGAUUUUAUUGAAAGUCAUAGAGGUGUGAGGCUGCCUUCGUCGUCUCCGGGAUGCCGAGCUCGCUGCCGGAAUCCGACAGAUUCAUAGAGGUAUAAUCGGUUCAAGUUCGUGGCCGUCCGUGUUGAAGUACCCGAUUUUCUUAAAACGCAUGAUGUACAAAUUUAAUUUUGUUGGAUUUUUGUUGAAUGUAUCGGACAUUUAACAUUUUGAUUGUGGAACCUUAUUUAUUA